RNAcentral lists this ribosomal RNA (1480 nucleotides) under uncultured bacterium. RNAcentral describes it as "bacterial SSU rRNA". It matches the Rfam family "Bacterial small subunit ribosomal RNA". The record is from RNAcentral.
UGGCUCAGAUUGAACGCUGGCGGCAGGCCUAACACAUGCAAGUCGAACGGUAACAGGAAGAAGCUUGCUUCUUUGCUGACGAGUGGCGGACGGGUGAGUAAUGUCUGGGAAACUGCCUGAUGGAGGGGGAUAACUACUGGAAACGGUAGCUAAUACCGCAUAACGUCGCAAGACCAAAGAGGGGGACCUUCGGGCCUCUUGCCAUCGGAUGUGCCCAGAUGGGAUUAGCUAGUAGGUGGGGUAACGGCUCACCUAGGCGACGAUCCCUAGCUGGUCUGAGAGGAUGACCAGCCACACUGGAACUGAGACACGGUCCAGACUCCUACGGGAGGCAGCAGUGGGGAAUAUUGCACAAUGGGCGCAAGCCUGAUGCAGCCAUGCCGCGUGUAUGAAGAAGGCCUUCGGGUUGUAAAGUACUUUCAGCGGGGAGGAAGGGAGUAAAGUUAAUACCUUUGCUCAUUGACGUUACCCGCAGAAGAAGCACCGGCUAACUCCGUGCCAGCAGCCGCGGUAAUACGGAGGGUGCAAGCGUUAACCGGAAUUACUGGGCGUAAAGCGCACGCAGGCGGUUUGUUAAGUCAGAUGUGAAAUCCCCGGGCUCAACCUGGGAACUGCAUCUGAUACUGGCAAGCUUGAGUCUCGUAGAGGGGGGUAGAAUUCCAGGUGUAGCGGUGAAAUGCGUAGAGAUCUGGAGGAAUACCGGUGGCGAAGGCGGCCCCCUGGACGAAGACUGACGCUCAGGUGCGAAAGUGUGGGGAGCAAACAGGAUUAGAUACCCUGGUAGUCCACGCCGUAAACGAUGUCGACUUGGAGGUUGUGCCCUUGAGGCGUGGCUUCCGGAGCUAACGCGUUAAGUCGACCGCCUGGGGAGUACGGCCGCAAAGGUUAAACUCAAAUGAAUUGACGGGGGCCCGCACAAGCGGUGGAGCAUGUGGUUUAAUUCGAUGCAACGCGAAGAACCUUACCUGGUCUUGACAUCCACGGAAGUUUUCAGAGAUGAGAAUGUGCCUUCGGGAACCGUGAGACAGGUGCUGCAUGGCUGUCGUCAGCUCGUGUUGUGAAAUGUUGGGUUAAGUCCCGCAACGAGCGCAACCCUCAUCCUUUGUUGCCAGCGGUCCGGCCGGGAACUCAAAGGAGACUGCCAGUGAUAAACUGGAGGAAGGUGGGGAUGACGUCAAGUCAUCAUGGCCCUUACGACCAGGGCUACACACGUGCUACAAUGGCGCAUACAAAGAGAAGCGACCUCGCGAGAGCAAGCGGACCUCAUAAAGUGCGUCGUAGUCCGGAUUGGAGUCUGCAACUCGACUCCAUGAAGUCGGAAUCGCUAGUAAUCGUGGAUCAGAAUGCCACGGUGAAUACGUUCCCGGGCCUUGUACACACCGCCCGUCACACCAUGGGAGUGGGUUGCAAAAGAAGUAGGUAGCUUAACCUUCGGGAGGGCGCUUACCACUUUGUGAUUCAUGACUGGGGUGAAGUCGUA